GGGUACUACGUACUGGCUCAAGGAACGAACGCUGGCGGCAUGGAUUAGGCAUGCAAGUCGAACGAAGCAGCAAUGCUUAGUGGCGCAAGGGUGAGGAACACGUGAGUGACCUACCCACAAGUUUGGAACAGCUCCUGGAAACGGGAAUUAAUACCGGAUGUGAUCGAUGAACUGCAUGGUUUAUCGAUUAAGCAGCAAUGCGCUUGUGGAUGGGCUCGCGUCCCAUUAGCUAGUUGGUGAGGUAACGGCCCACCAAGGCGAUGAUGGGUAGCUGGUCUGAGAGGACGACCAGCCACACUGGGACUGAGAACUGCCCAGACUCCUACGGGAGGCUGCAGUCGAGGAAUUUUGGGCAAUGGACGAAAGUCUGAACCCCCAGCAAUGCCGCGUGCGGGAUGAAGGUCUUCGGAUUGUAAACCGCUGUUUGGAGGGACGAAAAUUGACGGUACUUCCAGAGGAAGCCACGGCUAACUACGUGCCAGCAGCUGC
RNAcentral lists this ribosomal RNA (489 nucleotides) under uncultured bacterium. RNAcentral describes it as "bacterial SSU rRNA". It matches the Rfam family "Bacterial small subunit ribosomal RNA", at positions 1 to 518 of the family's 1533-position model. The record is from RNAcentral.